AAAGAUUUAAGUUAAAAAAACUAAUAGCCUUCAAAGCCUUAAAUGAUCCAAAUCAAUCUUUA
Molecule: transfer RNA, 62 nt
Filed under: Lasmigona complanata
Lineage: Eukaryota; Metazoa; Mollusca; Bivalvia; Unionida; Unionidae
Description: tRNA-Trp
Source: RNAcentral